AGUCGAGGGGCAUCGGGAGGGAAGCUUGCUUUCCUUGCCGGCGACCGGCGCUCGGGUGAGUAACACGUAUGCAACCUGCCCUCUUCAGGGGGACAACCUUCCGAAAGGGAGGCUAAUCCCGCGUAUAUCGGUUUCGGGCAUCCGUUAUCGAGGAAAGAUUCAUCGGAAGAGGAUGGGCAUGCGGCGCAUUAGCUUGACGGCGGGGUAACGGCCCACCGUGGCGACGAUGCGUAGGGGUUCUGAGAGGAAGGUCCCCCACACUGGUACUGAGACACGGACCAGACUCCUACGGGAGGCAGCAGUGAGGAAUAUUGGUCAAUGGGAGAGAUCCUGAACCAGCCAAGCCGCGUGAGGGAAGACGGCCCUAUGGGUUGUAAACCUCUUUUGUCGGAGAACAAAACCCGGGACGUGUCCCGGACUGCGUGUAUCCGAAGAAAAAGCAUCGGCUAACUCCGUGCCAGCAGCCGCGGUAAUACGGAGGAUGCGAGCGUUAUCCGGAUUUAUUGGGUUUAAAGGGUGCGUAGGCGGUCCGUUAAGUCAGCGGUAAAAUUGCGGGGCUCAACCCCGUCGAGCCGUUGAAACUGGCAGACUUGAGUUGGCGAGAAGUACGCGGAAUGCGCGGUGUAGCGGUGAAAUGCAUAGAUAUCACGAAGAACUCCGAUUGCGAAGGCAGCUUACCAGUCUGCGACUGACGCUCAGGCACGAAAGUGUGGGUAUCGAACAGGAUUAGAUACCCUGGUAGUCCACACAGUAAACGAUGAGCGCUAGGUGUCCGGGUCGCAUGAGACUUGGGUGCCCGAGCGAAAGC
This 808-nucleotide ribosomal RNA is filed under the name uncultured bacterium. RNAcentral's name for it is "bacterial SSU rRNA". It matches the Rfam family "Bacterial small subunit ribosomal RNA", at positions 60 to 858 of the family's 1533-position model. The record is from RNAcentral.